CCCUUAGAUGUUCUGGCCGCACGCGUGCUACACUGAGUGGAUCAGCGGGUCAGGUUGCGCGAAAGUGUUUCCUAAUCUUGAAAUCCGCUCGUGAUGGGGAUUGACGGUUGCAAUUUUCCGUCAUGAACGAGGAAUACCUUGUAAGCGCGGGUCAUCAUCCCGCGCUGAAUACGUCCCUGCCCUUUGUACACACCGCCCGUCGCUCCUACCGAUUGAGUGGUCCGGUGAGGCUUUGGGAUCUGAGCGGAAAGAGCGUUUCGCUGUUUCUGCUCGGAAAACUCAGUCGAACCUUAUCAUUUAGAGGAAGGAGAAGUCGUAACA
RNAcentral lists this ribosomal RNA (321 nucleotides) under uncultured eukaryote. RNAcentral's name for it is "partial 18S ribosomal RNA". It matches the Rfam family "Eukaryotic small subunit ribosomal RNA", at positions 1470 to 1796 of the family's 1831-position model. The record is from RNAcentral.